GAAGCAGAAGACUUCAAGCACUCAAGAGAAGUUUCUAAAUUGGAAACCUAUGCAGAAAAAUAUCUAUUUUUUACUGGCUGUCUCACCUUAUAUUAUUAAUAAAGAACUCUACAGUGUGACUUCCACAAGAAAAAGCAGAAAGAAUAUUACUGAAUAGAAAACUUUCUCCUAUCAACAACAGGACCUUCCAUUCACCUUUACUGCAAAGAAAAUCAGAAAUAUAUCCUGGGAGCUAUGAGGAAUAAUAAAUGAAUGAAUACAUUCUGCAAGGAGCAGCAACAGAAAAGGUUGGACCGAAGGACCAUCAAAGGGACACUUGCCACUAACAUGAACACGGAUGUACAGAAAAUGUGCUGCCUAACUUUUUGGCUUUUGGCAACCAUGUGAAGCAAUGAGCCAGUGUCUUCAUUUCAAAGAGAACAAGAGAAACUGAGUACUUAGUUAAUGAGAGUUGGAUACCAGCUAACAGUGAAAAAACCUAAGGCCCUUAAACCUUUUUGCAGAACAAAGAUUUUUCAAAC
Phascolarctos cinereus (koala) is the source of this 521-nucleotide long non-coding RNA. RefSeq lists it as uncharacterized. Lineage: Eukaryota; Metazoa; Chordata; Mammalia; Diprotodontia; Phascolarctidae. The record is from RefSeq and is a predicted model, not a curated record.